This 552-nucleotide ribosomal RNA is filed under the name Triticum aestivum (bread wheat). RNAcentral describes it as "partial small subunit ribosomal RNA". The record is from RNAcentral. Lineage: Eukaryota; Viridiplantae; Streptophyta; Magnoliopsida; Poales; Poaceae.
AUGCAUUUGCCAUGCAAUUGUGACCCUUGCUUGCAUCUACCCAUGAUUCACCAUUAUGAUACUUCUAUGUGUAUUUGCAUGCUUGGUGGAGAUCACUGUUGCUAUUGCCAUGUUUAUCAUGUGCCUCAUACUAUUGUUGAUUCUUGUGUUGGGAGAGUCAUGAUGUUACAUUGCUAUUCACAUAGGACUUCUUGCCAACACCAUGAACCUACUUUCCUCAUAUCUUGCUUUCAUGCUUGUGCUAUGACAUGUGAAUUAUUCAUGCCCACUAUUUGCACACAUAACAUGCUUGCCAUGAUUUCUUCUAGUAUGUUACAUCUUCGCACUACUAGCAUGCUUGACUUGAUCGCUAUGAUUGCUUGCUAUGUUGCAUCACCCAUGUUCCACUCUUACUCGCUUUCUUGGCUUGAUGACAUAGAUGUUGAUGCCUCUCACUUGAUUUUUCAUGAUCAUUGCCUCUUGUCUCCAUUAGUUGCAUCUCUCAUAUCACCUUUUAUUGAGUGCAACUUGCUAUGCUUAUUGAUCUUGGAGACUUGGACACUUUACUUGUGA